RNAcentral lists this ribosomal RNA (377 nucleotides) under uncultured bacterium. Its description in RNAcentral is "bacterial SSU rRNA". It matches the Rfam family "Bacterial small subunit ribosomal RNA", at positions 34 to 405 of the family's 1533-position model. The record is from RNAcentral.
GAAUUCACUAGUGAUUCGGGCCUAACACAGUGCAAGUCGAACGGCAGCACGGGGGCAACCCUGGUGGCGAGUGGCGAACGGGUGAGUAAUACAUCGGAACGUGUCCUGUAGUGGGGGAUAGCCCGGCGGAAGCCGGAUUAGUACCGGAUACGCUCUACGGAGGAAAGGGGGGGAUCUUAGGACCUCCCGCUACAGGGGCGGCCGAUGGCAGAUUAGCUAGUUGGUGGGGUAAAGGCCUGCCAAGGCGACGAUCUGUAGCUGGUCUGAGAGGAGGACCAGCCACACUGGGACUGAGACACGGCCCAGACUCGUACGGGAGGCAGCAGUGGGGAAUUUUGGACAAUGGGCGAAAGCCUGAUCCAGCAAGGCCGCGUGUG